UACAGAGGGGGCAAGCGUUAUUCGGAAUUAUUGGGCGUAAAGGGCGCGUAGGCGGGCUGUCAAGUCUGGGGUGAAAUCCCGCGGCUCAACCGUGGAACUGCCUUAGAUACUGACGGCCUCGAGGGAGAUAGGGGCGAGCGGAACUGUGAGUGGAGCGGUGAAAUGCGUUGAUAUCCACAGGAACUCCGGUGGCGAAGGCGGCUCGCUGGAUCUCUUCUGACGCUGAGGCGCGAAAGCUAGGGGAGCAAACGGG
Molecule: ribosomal RNA, 253 nt
Filed under: uncultured bacterium
Lineage: Bacteria
Description: partial 16S ribosomal RNA
Rfam family: Bacterial small subunit ribosomal RNA
Source: RNAcentral